AUUGAACGCUGGCGGCAGGCUUAACACAUGCAAGUCGAGCGGUAACAGAGAGAAGCUUGCUUCUCUGCUGACGAGCGGCGGACGGGUGAGUAAUGCCUAGGAAUCUGCCUAGUGGUGGGGGAUAACUUGCCGAAAGGUAAGCUAAUACCGCAUACGUCCUACGGGAGAAAGGAGGGGACCUUCGGGCCUUUCGCUAUUAGAUGAGCCUAGGUCGGAUUAGUUAGUUGGUGAGGUAAUGGCUCACCAAGACCGCGAUCCGUAACUGGUCUGAGAGGAUGAUCAGUCACACUGGAACUGAGACACGGUCCAGACUCCUACGGGAGGCAGCAGUGGGGAAUAUUGGACAAUGGGGGGAACCCUGAUCCAGCCAUGCCGCGUGUGUGAAGAAGGUCUUAGGAUUGUAAAGCACUUUAAGUUGGGAGGAAGAGCAGUUAACUAAUAUUUGACUGUUUUGACGUUACCGACAGAAUAAGCACCGGCUAACCUCGUGCCAGCAGCCGCCGUAA
Molecule: ribosomal RNA, 506 nt
Filed under: uncultured bacterium
Lineage: Bacteria
Description: partial 16S ribosomal RNA
Rfam family: Bacterial small subunit ribosomal RNA
Source: RNAcentral